CAAACACGUGGAUAGGAAUAAUCUCCUAUUACUAUGCGUAUAUAUAUGUUUUCAAUUUGUCUAGAGUUUUAAAAGGUGCGAAGAGAUUAGCAGUAAAACUGUGAUCCUCGUUUGGUAAUGCUAUCAUCAUAAAGUCGUCCCUUGGCCAAAUAUGAAGAUGAUUACCGCUCAUUGAAAACUUUUUAACAAGAGUAAUAAAUAUUAUUAUAUUCCAAUUAGGUGACAGUUCACAUGGAAUAAAUAAUUCAAUGUAUCCAUGUUCUAUGUAAAUCUGACUGCAAUUAAAAAGUGGUCUUUUCAUAAAGAUUUUACGUAUUGUGGAAUAAGCUCCAUCUGCUCCGAUUAUUAAAUCAAUAUUUACUUCUUCCGUCGU
Long non-coding RNA from Vespula pensylvanica (western yellowjacket), 373 nucleotides. RefSeq lists it as uncharacterized. The record is from RefSeq and is a predicted model, not a curated record. The transcript is spliced from 3 exons. Lineage: Eukaryota; Metazoa; Arthropoda; Insecta; Hymenoptera; Vespidae.